Molecule: ribosomal RNA, 253 nt
Filed under: uncultured bacterium
Lineage: Bacteria
Description: partial 16S ribosomal RNA
Rfam family: Bacterial small subunit ribosomal RNA
Source: RNAcentral
GACGUAGGGCGCGAGCGUUGUCCGGAUUUAUUGGGCGUAAAGAGCUCGUAGGCGGCUUGUCGCGUCGUCCGUGAAAACCUGCAGCUCAACUGCAGGCUUGCGGUCGAUACGGGCAGGCUGGAGUUCGGUAGGGGAGACUGGAAUUCCUGGUGUAGCGGUGAGAUGCGCAGAUAUCAGGAGGAACACCAAUGGCGAAAGCAGCUUGCUGGGACGGUACUGACGCUGAGACGCGAAAGCGUGGGGAGCGAACAGG